GCUUAAUACAUGCAAGUCGAGGGGCAGCAUGGUGUAGCAAUACACUGAUGGCGACCGGCAAACGGGUGCGGAACACGUACACAACCUUCCUUUAAGCGGGGGAUAGCCCAGAGAAAUUUGGAUUAAUACCCCAUAGAAUAGCGAUGAGGCAUCUUAUUGUUAUUAAAGAUUUAUCACUUGAAGAUGGGUGUGCGUCUGAUUAGGUAGUUGGCGGGGUAACGGCCCACCAAGCCAUCGAUCAGUAACUGGUGUGAGAGCACGACCAGUCACACGGGCACUGAGACACGGGCCCGACUCCUACGGGAGGCAGCAGUAAGGAAUAUUGGUCAAUGGACGCAAGUCUGAACCAGCCAUGCCGCGUGGAGGAUGAAGGUCCUCUGGAUUGUAAACUUCUUUUAUUUGGGAAGAAAUGCAUCUUUUCUAAGGUGUUUGACGGUACCAGAUGAAUAAGCACCGGCUAACUCCGUGCCAGCAGCCGCGGUAAU
RNAcentral lists this ribosomal RNA (485 nucleotides) under Ochromonas sp. CCMP1393. RNAcentral describes it as "partial Bacterial small subunit ribosomal RNA". It matches the Rfam family "Bacterial small subunit ribosomal RNA", at positions 46 to 524 of the family's 1533-position model. The record is from RNAcentral. Lineage: Eukaryota; Chrysophyceae; Chromulinales; Chromulinaceae.